CUACGGGUUGCUCCAGUCACGGAAACUUUACAAUGCGCGAAAGCGUGAUAAGGGUAUCCCAAGUGCUUUGCUUAUUGUAAGGCUUUUGCCAAGUGUAAAGAGCUUGGCGAAUAAGUGGUGGGUAAGACUGGUGCCAGCCGCCGCGGUAACACCAGCGCCACAAGUGGUAACCACGUUUAUUGGCCUAAAGCGUUCGUAGCCGGUUUGAUAAGUUUCUUGUGAAAUUGUUUGGCCUAACCAAACAACGUGCAAGAAAUACUGUCUAACUUGGGACCGGGAGGAGUUAGAGGUAUUCCAUGGGGAGCGGUAAAAUGCUAUAAUCCUUGGAGGACCACCAAUGGCGAAGGCUUCUAACUAGAACGGAUCCGACGGUCAGGAACGAAGGCUAGGGGAGCAAAACGGAUUAGAUACCCUGGUAGUC
Molecule: ribosomal RNA, 421 nt
Filed under: uncultured archaeon
Lineage: Archaea
Description: partial 16S ribosomal RNA
Rfam family: Archaeal small subunit ribosomal RNA
Source: RNAcentral